CUUGAUCGAGCCGAGAAACAGCGGCUGGUCGCCGGACCGCUGCUGGCCAUAGGUCGCCAGCAGCGCCUCGGCCUC
Molecule: non-coding RNA, 75 nt
Rfam family: ASpks TB sRNA
Source: Rfam